RNAcentral lists this ribosomal RNA (405 nucleotides) under uncultured bacterium. RNAcentral's name for it is "partial 16S ribosomal RNA". It matches the Rfam family "Bacterial small subunit ribosomal RNA", at positions 29 to 525 of the family's 1533-position model. The record is from RNAcentral.
AUUGAACGCUGGCGGCAGGCUUAACACAUGCAAGUCGAGCGAGCGGCGGACGGGUGAGUAAUGUCUGGGAAACUGCCUGAUGGAGGGGGAUAACUACUGGAAACGGUAGCUAAUACCGCAUACCAUCAGAUGUGCCCAGAUGGGAUUAGCUAGUAGGUUGGGUAAUGGCUCACCUGGGCGACGAUCCCUAGCUGGUCUGAGAGGAUGACCGGCCAAACGGGAACUGAGAAACGGUCAGGCUUCCUAGGGGGGGCAGCAGUGGGGAAGAUGGCACAAUGGGGGCAAGCCUGAGGCAGCCAUGCCGGGGGAGUGAAGAAGGCCUUCGGGUGGUAAAGCACUUUCAGCGAGGAGGCGUUACUCGCAGAAGAAGCACCGGCUAACCCCGUGCCAGCAGCCGCGGUAAUU